RNAcentral lists this long non-coding RNA (517 nucleotides) under Bos indicus x Bos taurus (hybrid cattle). Its description in RNAcentral is "lncRNA (ENSBIXG00000003459.1)". Lineage: Eukaryota; Metazoa; Chordata; Mammalia; Artiodactyla; Bovidae. The record is from RNAcentral.
CUGACUCACCCCUUCUCCACUCAGGAAUGAUGUUAACUUUCUGCUGCUGCUGCUGCUGCUGCUAAGUUGCUUCAGUCGUGUCUGACUCUGUGUGACCCCAUAGACGGCAGCCCACCAGGCUUCCCCGUUCCUGGGAUUCUCCAGGCAAGAACACUGGAGUGGGUUGCCAUUUCCUUCUCCAAUGCAUAAAAGUGAAAGUGAAAUCGCUCAGUCGUGUCGACUCUUCGCAACCCCAUGGACUGCAGCCCACCAGGCUCCUCCGUCCAUGGGAUUUUCCAGGCAAGAGUACUGGAGUGGGGUGCCAUUGCCUUCUCUGUUAACUUUCUACUCAGCCUAAACUUAUCCCCGUGCUGUCUCAUGCUGUCCGCCAGCUCUUUCACUGGAAUAUGUUACCCAGUCGCCUUGGAAUCAUUACUGGGUCUCCUUGGAAUGGAAACUGUGUCAGACUGGAGGGUCUCUAGACAGCAAUGCAAGGGAUUUAUUCUCCAUGAAGCCUUUCAGACACAUGAAAUAUCUG